RNAcentral lists this long non-coding RNA (1096 nucleotides) under Struthio camelus australis. RNAcentral's name for it is "lncRNA (ENSSCUG00000018163.1)". Lineage: Eukaryota; Metazoa; Chordata; Aves; Struthioniformes; Struthionidae. The record is from RNAcentral.
UUACAGACUUGUUCACUGGACUCAUCAUCACAGCUGCUGCUUUCUUAGAGACAGGAGAGGCACAGCAGACAGUCUUGAAUCACUUCUCAUACUCAGUAUUAGAGCUCAACUGGGCUAUCAAGCUACCACAGCUUAAGACCUGACGACUUCUCAUCUCGUUCAUGGAGAGCUGCUUGUUUUUUGUAAUGGAAAUUAGAGAUGCCUACCUCUAACUAGCCACCAGUCCAGUGCUAUGAUUACGUAUCAGACAGUAUAUCGGUACGGACUUACCACCUUGAACUCCUUUGAGACAACACACAAAGAGAGCGGCACACUCGCAGUAGUUUUCCAGUGUAGAUUGGAACCUCUUCAAGGUGAUGCCUGUGAAUCCUUGGCUCUACUGAAACUCACAUCAAGAGUUCACCAAGCUCCUCACUAGAGCCAGGACUUCAGCCAGCCAUCCUGCCUCACUGCAAAGCUCUGUAAUUGAAAGAUAAAUGAUUUAACUAGUAGGAGAACACCUUUAGAGCUUUCUGAUGUUGAUUCAUGCUCAGCUUAAGCCUGAAUGCGCAAUAUCAUUACUGAAAGGGGUCUUCUGCCCUUCCUCCUCUGCUAUCUGCACAUUUCUGCCCUUGGAAAAUAGGCUGAAGCACGCACACAGGUGAAUGAUAAACCAGGCUGAGGAAAUGAUCCAGCUGAAAAAUAGCUCAGCAAAAAGAAAGGCUGUUUUGACCAAGGUGUCUGCUUCUGUCAGUUGAGAGAGGGGAUUAAGCUGGAAUGGGAAACAAGUGGCACCAUAGCAGAUAGUGGCAACACCAGCUUCUGCAGAUUGUGAAAUUGCAGUGCUGUUUCCUAUCUCAUAAAUUAUUUCCUCUGCCCUUUACUUCUCUGUUUACUUCAUGAUCCAAUAGGUCCCUCCUCCAGUGUUUCUGUCUGUAAAAAUGACAAGCAAGUGAGAAAACAGAUAAGAAAAUAAUCAACCUGUGAGCUUCAUUAUGUUUGUAUUCCUCAGCAACUGACUGUUCUUACAGCUUUUCAUACUUUUGAACCUCUUCCUGAUGAGAUACAAUGCUAGAGCACACAGGAAAAUAAAUAAGUGAUUUUUUCUGUCUUGCCA